Molecule: ribosomal RNA, 1372 nt
Filed under: uncultured bacterium
Lineage: Bacteria
Description: bacterial SSU rRNA
Rfam family: Bacterial small subunit ribosomal RNA
Source: RNAcentral
GAUGAACGCUGGCGGCGUGCCUAAUACAUGCAAGUCGAGCGAACGGACGAGAAGCUUGCUUCUCUGAUGUUAGCGGCGGACGGGUGAGUAACACGUGGAUAACCUACCUAUAAGACUGGGAUAACUUCGGGAAACCGGAGCUAAUACCGGAUAAUAUUUUGAACCGCAUGGUUCAAAAGUGAAAGACGGUCUUGCUGUCACUUAUAGAUGGAUCCGCGCUGCAUUAGCUAGUUGGUAAGGUAACGGCUUACCAAGGCAACGAUGCAUAGCCGACCUGAGAGGGUGAUCGGCCACACUGGAACUGAGACACGGUCCAGACUCCUACGGGAGGCAGCAGUAGGGAAUCUUCCGCAAUGGGCGAAAGCCUGACGGAGCAACGCCGCGUGAGUGAUGAAGGUCUUCGGAUCGUAAAACUCUGUUAUUAGGGAAGAACAUAUGUGUAAGUAACUGUGCACAUCUUGACGGUACCUAAUCAGAAAGCCACGGCUAACUACGUGCCAGCAGCCGCGGUAAUACGUAGGUGGCAAGCGUUAUCCGGAAUUAUUGGGCGUAAAGCGCGCGUAGGCGGUUUUUUAAGUCUGAUGUGAAAGCCCACGGCUCAACCGUGGAGGGUCAUUGGAAACUGGAAAACUUGAGUGCAGAAGAGGAAAGUGGAAUUCCAUGUGUAGCGGUGAAAUGCGCAGAGAUAUGGAGGAACACCAGUGGCGAAGGCGACUUUCUGGUCUGUAACUGACGCUGAUGUGCGAAAGCGUGGGGAUCAAACAGGAUUAGAUACCCUGGUAGUCCACGCCGUAAACGAUGAGUGCUAAGUGUUAGGGGGUUUCCGCCCCUUAGUGCUGCAGCUAACGCAUUAAGCACUCCGCCUGGGGAGUACGACCGCAAGGUUGAAACUCAAAGGAAUUGACGGGGACCCGCACAAGCGGUGGAGCAUGUGGUUUAAUUCGAAGCAACGCGAAGAACCUUACCAAAUCUUGACAUCCUUUGACAACUCUAGAGAUAGAGCCUUCCCCUUCGGGGGACAAAGUGACAGGUGGUGCAUGGUUGUCGUCAGCUCGUGUCGUGAGAUGUUGGGUUAAGUCCCGCAACGAGCGCAACCCUUAAGCUUAGUUGCCAUCAUUAAGUUGGGCACUCUAAGUUGACUGCCGGUGACAAACCGGAGGAAGGUGGGGAUAACGUCAAAUCAUCAUGCCCCUUAUGAUUUGGGCUACACACGUGCUACAAUGGACAAUACAAAGGGCAGCGAAACCGCGAGGUCAAGCAAAUCCCAUAAAGUUGUUCUCAGUUCGGAUUGUAGUCUGCAACUCGACUAUAUGAAGCUGGAAUCGCUAGUAAUCGUAGAUCAGCAUGCUACGGUGAAUACGUUCCCGGGUCU